UCAUGCCAUUCAUCAAAUGCUCAUAGGGCUCUGCGGGUCGUUAAGCGCCGCAAUGGCUGUCUCGAUCUUCAUUUUCAGAUUCUCUUUCUCAUUUUCGUCCGCCUGCAUCGAAUGAACACAUAAAAAACAGGGUGAGAUUCUCUUGGUCAU
Rhodamnia argentea is the source of this 150-nucleotide long non-coding RNA. RefSeq lists it as uncharacterized. The transcript has 3 exons. NCBI's taxonomy places the organism in Eukaryota, Viridiplantae, Streptophyta, Magnoliopsida, Myrtales, Myrtaceae. The record is from RefSeq and is a predicted model, not a curated record.